CUAUAAAUAUUAAUCAAGUAGAACCUGUAAAUAAAAUAUUACUUAGAUUUUGUACAGGAGCAAUGUCUUUUGGUUCUUUAUCAGAAGAGGCACAUACAACAGUUGCUACUGCAAUGAAUAGAAUGGGAUUAAAGUCUAAUACAGGGGAAGGAGGAGAAGCAGAAGAUCGUAUUUUAUCUGAUAAAACAACAGGAAUAAAUACAAGUUCAGCUAUUAAACAAAUUGCAUCUGCUAGAUUUUGUGUUACUGCUUAUAGUAUGGUGAAUGCAAAAGAAUUACAAAUUAAAGUAGCACAAGGAUCAAAACCAGGAGAAGGAGGAGAAUUACCAGGAUAUAAAGUUAGUGCAAAAAUAGCUUCUAUUAGAAGAAGUACACCUGGUGUAGGUUUAAUAUCACCACCACCACAUCACGAUAUGUAUUCUAUUGAAGAUGUAGGUCAGUUAGUAUAUGAUUUAAAAAAUAUAAAUAAAGAAGCAAAAAUAUCUGUUAAAUUAGUAUCAAAGUUAGGUAUAGGUGUAAUAACAUGUGGUGUAGUAAAAGGUAAUUGUGAACAAAUACUUAUAAGUGGUAUGUCUGGAGGUACAGGUGCAUCCAAAUGGACAUCUAUAAAACAUGCAGGUUUACCUUGGGAAAUAGGACUUGCUGAAGCGCAUCAGACAUUAUGUAAAUCAAAAUUAAGAAAAANNNNNNNNNNAAAAAAAAACAAUCAGCAUGAAUAUACAACAAACACAUAUUCUCAAAAAUUAUCAUCCCUAAAUAAACACGAUUUAAUUAAAAAAUAUCAAUUAAAAAAAAAUGUUGAAGAAUAUGUUGAUAUACCCUUUACUGAAAGAAUAUAUAAAGCAGAUGUAGUCAUCUUAGCUUUAGGUUUUAUAAAAACAGAUGAUUCUAUAUGGUUAAAUGAUAAUAUAAAAUUAGAGUUGGAUAAUUAUAAUUGUAUAAAAACAAACCAAAGUAUUUAUCAAACAAAUCAUAAACAAAUAUUUGCGUGUGGUGAUUGUAGAAUUGGACCUAGUAAUGUUGUACAAGCAAUUGUCGAAGGAAGAAAUGCUGCAUCAAAGAUAGAUGCAUACUUAUCUAACUCUUAUUCGAUUUUGCCUGUAUGUAAUACAUAUAAUAGUUACCCUAAAAAUUAUAUAAACUUUCCUGGUAAAAUCAAUAAUUGGGGGUAGUACAAUAUAUAUAUAUAUAUAUAUAUACUACACCACAUCUAACAUAAAUAAUUUAUUUACCAUUAAUUAAUUUUACAAUUCAUUAACCAUUAAAAUUCAUAAUUUAGUUAUUUAUUUAUUUAUUUAUUUAUUUGUUUGUUUGUUUUUUUUUUUUUUUUUUUUUUUUUUUUUUU
RNAcentral lists this long non-coding RNA (1345 nucleotides) under Piliocolobus tephrosceles (Ugandan red Colobus). RNAcentral describes it as "lncRNA (ENSPTEG00000019084.1)". Lineage: Eukaryota; Metazoa; Chordata; Mammalia; Primates; Cercopithecidae. The record is from RNAcentral.